GACGAACGCUGGCGGCGUGCUUAACACAUGCAAGUCGAACGGAAAGGCCCUGCCUUGCUGGGGUGCUCGAGUGGCGAACGGGUGAGUAACACGUGGGUAACCUGCCUUGGACUUUGGGAUAACUUCAGGAAACUGGGGCUAAUACCGGAUAUGAGCUGCUGCUGCAGGGGGGGGUGGGGAAAUUUUCGGCGGUUGGGGUUGGUCGCGCGGCUUAUGGGCUUGUGGGUGGGGUAGUGGCUUACCAAGGCUGUGACGGCUAGCGGGCGUGAGAGGGUGACCGGCAACAUUGGGACGGGGAUAGGGCCCAGAUCCCUCCGGGAGGAAGCAGUGGGGAAUAUUGCACAUUGGGCGGAAGCCUGAUGCAGCACGGCCGCGUGCGGGAUGCCGGCCUUCGGGUUGUAAACCGUUUUCGCCUGUGACGAAGCGUGAGUGACGGUACCGGGUAAAGAAGCACCGGCUAACUACGUG
This 468-nucleotide ribosomal RNA is filed under the name uncultured bacterium. RNAcentral describes it as "partial 16S ribosomal RNA". It matches the Rfam family "Bacterial small subunit ribosomal RNA", at positions 28 to 507 of the family's 1533-position model. The record is from RNAcentral.